Molecule: long non-coding RNA, 476 nt
Organism: Paramormyrops kingsleyae
Lineage: Eukaryota; Metazoa; Chordata; Actinopteri; Osteoglossiformes; Mormyridae
Source: RefSeq, a predicted model, not a curated record
CAGAGAUAACAAACACGGUGAAUAAAUCCUGACAAAGGAACAGACCAAGAGCGUGAACAGCAUAGCAAAGACAGUAUUUUGAAGAACUGCGUCCCUUCAGGCAGAACAUUCCAUACAAGCCAGCACAGUAUGGCUCAAAAAUGUGGACUUGGGCUUCUGGAGCGGAACCUAGCAUGGAUGCUAAUUCUACAGUUACAUCUCCGUGAUCGCAGUAACGGGCUCCACAGCAAUCACUUAACAAGUGAGGGCUCCUUCCCAUUCCGGCAUAUCUGGAGCUGAUCCAGAAUAGAGGAGUCAAACUGUUUGGGAAACAGGCUGAGACAAGAUAGAAGUGAAAUGAUCUGAUUCCUCAAGGAAUUUUACUGGACUGUAAGACCAUGGAUGAAACAAAAUGUGAACAUACCAAAGGAGGCACAAAGUCAUUUCCUCCACUCUGUAAUUCAUUACUAAGAAUAUUAAAGUAGUCGCUGUUGCUA